AGCCUUCUGUAUCCGUACUUAGAUUUCAUCAAAGAUCAAUCCGCUGGGGCUGAUGGUACUUCCAAAAUAAGUGAAGCG
This 78-nucleotide microRNA precursor is filed under the name Trichobilharzia regenti. RNAcentral describes it as "mir-3492 microRNA precursor family". It matches the Rfam family "mir-3492 microRNA precursor family". Lineage: Eukaryota; Metazoa; Platyhelminthes; Trematoda; Strigeidida; Schistosomatidae. The record is from Rfam by way of RNAcentral.